AUGAGAUCUUCCAAGCAUGUGUCAAGGUCGAUCACUGGAUCUUCAUUAGCAUUGUCAGCACGGCGGAUCCAAACUUUGAUCCUGGAGUCAGGAAACCGUGAGCCUAUGUAGUUGAAAGCCUUCUUUAUCUCCUCUCUGGUGAGAAGUUUGUUGCGUUUGACGCCGAAUUGCAUAAAAGUUUUCUUUAACUGAUCUUCAGCAAAG
Molecule: unclassified non-coding RNA, 204 nt
Filed under: Hevea brasiliensis (rubber tree)
Lineage: Eukaryota; Viridiplantae; Streptophyta; Magnoliopsida; Malpighiales; Euphorbiaceae
Source: RNAcentral